Molecule: long non-coding RNA, 429 nt
Organism: Nycticebus coucang (slow loris)
Lineage: Eukaryota; Metazoa; Chordata; Mammalia; Primates; Lorisidae
Exons: 3
Source: RefSeq, a predicted model, not a curated record
GGAGACGGAUGAGAUCGGUUUCUUUUCUUAGGCUGGAAGGAGGGUAGGGGACGCCGAGCAUGCUUCCCAUCUGGUUCUGGAAGCUUGCCCGGGAUCCUAUUUGCCUUUGAAAUUUUAGCUUAUUCUGUGACACCUGCCGUCAGCCUCUAGCCCCAGUCGAGCCUUCAGAUGACUGCGGCCCUGGCUCAACCAUCUUAAGGGCAUGAACAUGAGAGACCUUGAGCCAGAACCACCAACCAAACUCUUCCCAGACUGAUGAUCUACAUAAACUGAGAUGGUUCGGUGCCUGUAGCUAGGGCGUCAGCCACGUACACCGGAGCUUAGCCGGGUUUGAAUCCAGCCUAGGCCUUCCAAACAAUGACAACUACAACCAAAAAAUAGCUGGGUGUUGUGGCGGGCACCUGUAGUCCCUGCUACUUGGGAGGCUGA